GACGAACGCUGGCUGCGUGCCUACUACAUGCAAGUAGAACGCAGUUGCGAACGGGUGAGUACCGCGUAGGUAACUGCCUCAUCGCGUCGGAUACCUGUUGGACACGAUAGCUAAUACCGCAUACUGUGAGAUGCACCUGCGUUGUAUUAGAUAGUUGGUGAGGUAAAGGCUCACCAAGGCGACGAUCCAUAGCCGACCUGAGAGGGUGAUCGGCCAAACUGGGACUGAGACACUGCCCAGAAUCCUACGGGAGGCAGGAGUAGGGAGUCUUCGGGAAUGGACGGAAUGCUGACCGAGCAACGCCGCGGGAGGGAAGAAGGUUGUCGGAUCGUAAAGCUCUGGUGUUAGAGAAGCGGUAACUAACCAGAAAGGGACGGCUAACUACGUGCCAGCAGACGCGGUAAUUC
This 407-nucleotide ribosomal RNA is filed under the name uncultured bacterium. Its description in RNAcentral is "partial 16S ribosomal RNA". It matches the Rfam family "Bacterial small subunit ribosomal RNA", at positions 28 to 526 of the family's 1533-position model. The record is from RNAcentral.